RNAcentral lists this ribosomal RNA (123 nucleotides) under Pseudomonas sp. GV071. Lineage: Bacteria; Pseudomonadati; Pseudomonadota; Gammaproteobacteria; Pseudomonadales; Pseudomonadaceae. The record is from RNAcentral.
CGAAUUGCUUGACGACCAUAGAGCGUUGGAACCACCUGAUCCCAUCCCGAACUCAGUAGUGAAACGACGCAUCGCCGAUGGUAGUGUGGGGUUUCCCCAUGUGAGAGUAGGUCAUCGUCAAGC